RNAcentral lists this long non-coding RNA (1113 nucleotides) under Gossypium barbadense (sea-island cotton). Its description in RNAcentral is "long non-coding RNA (GBAR_LNC013622)". The record is from RNAcentral. Lineage: Eukaryota; Viridiplantae; Streptophyta; Magnoliopsida; Malvales; Malvaceae.
UAGGAUUUAAUUGAUAAUUAUAUGUGUUUGAUAUUAAUAUAUAUGUAUUAAUAUACUAUUUUAAAUUUAUUAAUAUUUAAGUUUUUAUUAUAAGUAUAUAAUAAAUAUUUGCAAAUAUCAAAUAAGUGAUAUUGAUAAAGUUAUAAAUAUGAAAUACUUAUCAAUCAUAUAUAUAAUCUGUAUUACUAAAGUAGAAGUUAUCCCAUAAAAUUGCAGCCACAGUUUGAGAGAAAUGAACUGUGUUUCUUUGCCAAAACUUGCCACGUGACAAGUCAAAUUCAUUUUAAAAGGUUUAUAUAAAUUUUAUAUUAUAUAUUUGUUUUGUCCUGUUAUAUGUUAAUGAGUUGUGUACAAGCCCAAAUAUGCCCGAGCCCAAACCAAUAAACAAGCCCAAACUAAAUACCCACCUAAGCCCAAACUAAACCCUAGCCCAACAAAACUAAGAAGCCCCAGGCAGCAAGCCGUCGCUACCAGCAACUCCAGUCACCGCACGACUAGGAGCCAGAGUCUCUUCCGCAAGAAUCGCGCCUUCACGAGCGUGCGCACUCCCCAACAGCCUCCAUACCUGCGAGAAAAACUGAAAAAUGUCAGUAUUCAUCGCAACAAUAACAAGAAAAUAGGGAUUCUUUUAGAUUUUUUUUUGAUAUUUUUUUUAUUUCGGUUAUAUAAACCAAUUGUAAAGAAAGAAAGGGGGGAAUUUUUCAGUGUAAAAAACAGACGAAAAUAGAGAGAAAGACUGAGAUUCCAAAUUUUUUUUUCGAAGGUGAAUUGUGUUUUUUUAUUUUUGAUUUUUCUUAUUUAUUUUUCAUUUAAAAUAAAAUGAAAGGGAGAAGAGCCUUACCUGGUCGCCGGAGUCGUCGAUCCGGCGUCUUCUCCGUCGAAAUCGGGGCAUGGAGGCUGAGCGGCGGCGCGAUGAUGGGUUAAGAAAACCCUAGCAGAGAGUGUUUUUCCCUUUUAUUUUUUGCUUUCUGCUGCAAAUAGGUUUUUAGCAAAAAAAUUGUUGUAAGACUAAAGAACAAAACGCGCCGUUUGGUGUGGGUUGGGGUCCGCGCGUUUUCACCCUAAAUGGGUAAUUUUCGCGAUUGCCCUUUGGUGUUUUUACAUUGUUCCAAA